RNAcentral lists this long non-coding RNA (500 nucleotides) under Homo sapiens (human). RNAcentral's name for it is "HSALNT0232520". The record is from RNAcentral. Lineage: Eukaryota; Metazoa; Chordata; Mammalia; Primates; Hominidae.
AGUAAUAUAGGAGGUGUUCACACCUAAAAAGGUUUCCAAAAUGUCUAUGAAGUAAAGAUUGAGGGUAUCGGACCCAGUGCGGUGGCUCACACCUAUAAUCCCUGCACUUUGGGAGGCUGAGGCGAACUGAUCACGAGGUCGGGAGUUCAAGACCGGCCUGGCCAGCAUGGUAAAACCUGUCUCUAUUAAAAAUACAAAAUUUAGCUGGGCAUGGUGGCAGGCGCCUGUAAUCCCAGCUACUUGGGAGGCUGAGGUAGGAGAAUCACUUGAACCCGGGAGGCAGAUGUUGCAGUGAGUCGAGAUCGUGCCACUGCACUCCAGCCUGGAUGACAGAGUGAGACUCCAUCUCAAAAAAAAAAAAAAAAAAAAAAGGGUGAGAGUCUCUUAGCUUUCAAUAAAAACCAAAAGAUACUAAUGUUCACUGGUCAACUGUGCCACAACCUAAAUAAUCCAUCAUCCUAAGGUAACAGCAAUCAGUGAAGCAGUGAGCUGUGCUGAAG